GGGCGCUUAGCUCAGCUGGGAGAGCACAUGCCUUACAAGCAUGGGGUCGGCGGUUCGAUCCCGUCAGCGCCCACCA
This 76-nucleotide transfer RNA is filed under the name Shimazuella soli. RNAcentral's name for it is "Shimazuella sp. AN120528 tRNA-Val". It matches the Rfam family "tRNA". From Rfam's summary of the family: Transfer RNA (tRNA) molecules are approximately 80 nucleotides in length. Lineage: Bacteria; Bacillati; Bacillota; Bacilli; Caryophanales; Thermoactinomycetaceae. RNAcentral also lists the same sequence under 4 other names. The record is from RNAcentral.